CAGCAGCCGCGGGAAUACAGAGGGUGCGAGCGUUAAUCGGAUUUACUGGGCGUAAAGCGUGCGUAGGCGGCUAAUUGAGUCGGAUGUGAAAUCCCCGAGCUUAACUUGGGAAUUGCAUUCGAUACUGGUUAGCUAGAGUGUGGGAGAGGAUGGUAGAAUUCCAGGUGUAGCGGUGAAAUGCGUAGAGAUCUGGAGGAAUACCGAUGGCGAAGGCAGCCAUCUGGCCUAACACUGACGCUGAGGUACGAAAGCAUGGGGAGCAAACAGGAUUAGAGACCCCGGUAGUCCCUGUCUCUUAUAA
This 301-nucleotide ribosomal RNA is filed under the name uncultured bacterium. Its description in RNAcentral is "partial 16S ribosomal RNA". It matches the Rfam family "Bacterial small subunit ribosomal RNA", at positions 509 to 809 of the family's 1533-position model. The record is from RNAcentral.